RNAcentral lists this ribosomal RNA (301 nucleotides) under uncultured bacterium. RNAcentral describes it as "partial 16S ribosomal RNA". It matches the Rfam family "Bacterial small subunit ribosomal RNA", at positions 509 to 807 of the family's 1533-position model. The record is from RNAcentral.
CAGUAGCCGCGGGAAUACAGAGGGUGCGAGCGUUAAUCGGAUUUACUGGGCGUAAAGCGUGCGUAGGCGGCUUCUUAAGUCGUAUGUGAAAUCCCUGAGCUUAACUUAGGAAUUGCAUUCGAUACUGGGAAGCUAGAGUAUGGGAGAGGAUGGUAGAAUUCCAGGUGUAGCGGUGAAAUGCGUAGAGAUCUGGAGGAAUACCGAUGGCGAAGGCAGCCAUCUGGCCUAAUACUGACGCUGAGGUACGAAAGCAUGGGGAGCAAACAGGAUUAGAUACCCCCGUAGUCCCUGUCUCUUAUAC